Long non-coding RNA from Cydia amplana, 376 nucleotides. RefSeq lists it as uncharacterized. The transcript is spliced from 2 exons. Lineage: Eukaryota; Metazoa; Arthropoda; Insecta; Lepidoptera; Tortricidae. The record is from RefSeq and is a predicted model, not a curated record.
UCUCUCGCGCAAACUAUUCAGUUUAGAAAAAAAUGAUAUUAGAAACCUCAAUAUCAUUUUUGAAGACCUAUUCAUAGAUACCCCACACGUAUGGGUUUGAUGAAAAAAAAUUUUUGAGCGAUUUAUGACGUAUAAAAAAAAAACUACUUACUAGAUCUCGUUCAAACCAAUUUUCGGUGGAAGUUUACAUGGUAAUGUACAUCAUAUAUUUUUUUUAGUUUUAUCAUUCUCUUAUUUUAGAAGUUACAGGGGGGGGGACACACAUUUUAGCACUUUGGAAGUGUCUCUCGCGCAAACUAUUCAAUUUAGAAAAAAAUGAUAUUAGAAACCUCAAUAUCAUUUUUGAAGACCUAUCCAUAGAUACCCCACACGUAUG